GCUCCCUUUGUGAAUGAAAACAACAAAAGCAUGAAUAUUGAAACAAGAAAAAUCAAUUGAAGUGUAACAGUCAUUGGUAUGAACCUCAAUUAUUCAAAAUUAUCUCUGCUGUGUGUACACAAGCGAGAAAUCAAACAGCUGCAAGAUCGUUCAUGAUCGGCCAAGAUCAGAAUGGAGAAAGUCAAACAGGAAUUCUUUAAGGAGUCACAGAUUUUUUCCCAUACUAUGAACGAUGAAGGGAUAGCUGUUAACCAAUUACGAGCAGAUUUGUAAGUUGGAUUCUGCAGUGAGUCAUUUUCCCCCUCAAAUCUGACAUGGCGAUGAUGAUAGAGAAUAAAUACACCCUUCGUUAACUAGAGCGAUGGCUACAGGAGAAACAACAGUCGGAGAAUUAAGCAGAGUCAACAAACCUACUAACUCCAUUCUCGAAGAGUUUUGUAACGAAACUACUGCACAUGGACUGGGACGAAUUUUACCUGUGAAAAAUAGAAUAAGAACAACCAUCUGGAGUGUUCUAUUCAUAGGGGCAUUUGUGGCAUUUACAUAUCAUUUCCAUGUCCUUUUUGGUAGACUUAGGACGAAUUCUCUCGUAACUGAAAUGGAGGUAGAAUCGAAAUUGAGCUUAGAUUUUCCAGCGAUAACCAUAUGCAAUGCAAAUAUCAUCAAGAACUCCUCCCUUUACAACCAAAAUAUAUCCAUAAAAGACCCAAAGAAUUGUCUCUUUUGGGAAAAUGUAUCCUACCAUGGAUACGACUCUGAAUUCUGGAGAGAAGAGAGCAUGCUGGCAUGUUUAGCUGAAUUAAAUAAGACAUUUCUCGCCAAACUGGGUCACCAGUUCAAGGACUUAGUAAGGUCUUGCACUUUCAGAGGGAUACCCUGCAGGGAAGAUGCCUCUUUGUGGACACACUUUUGGCAUUUCAAAUUUGGAAAUUGCUUCGUAUUUAAUUUAGGUGGAAAACAAAAGUCUUCAGUUCUUCACCAAACCAAACCUGGAAUAUCACAAGGGCUAAUGUUGGAGAUGAAUAUUCAGCAACAAGAGUACCUUGAUACCACAUCAGGUGCAGGAGUAAGAGUGGAUAUCUCAGAUCAGGGACAAAUGCCUUUUCCGCUGGAGAGUGGAGUUAGCUUGGCUCCAGGUUUCAGCACAAUGAUUGGUCUGAAGAAGACUAUCUUUGAACGAAUUGACCCCGCUAACGACGGUAAACGUUGUAGAGAAGGGGACAAAUUGACCGAGAAAAAUUUAUACACGGAAAUUUUGAACAUCUCUUACUCGACAAUGUCUUGCAGAGAAUCUUGCCUGGCCAGAAGUCAGUUAGUGAAAUGUGGAUGCAUGGAAUUCAGAUUUCCCACUCAAGAUUUGAAGAAAAUUUGUAAUUUAAUGAAUGAGACCCAACUGAGCUGUAUCUUUGGAAAACAACUCUCGUUUGAUGGAAACGGUGAUGAGUGCGCAGAGUCUUGUGUUCCACCUUGCAGGUCAGUGCAACUAAAAAAGAGUACCUCUUUAGAAGUUUGGCCAUCUGAGAAAUACAAGAAAAAAUAACCUGAGGCUGCACGUUUUCUAUCAAGAACUUGAAGAAGAAAUAAUUAAGGAGGCAAUAUCGUACACGAUUGAUGGCUU
This 1618-nucleotide unclassified non-coding RNA is filed under the name Stylophora pistillata. RNAcentral's name for it is "degenerin deg-1-like, transcript variant X6". Lineage: Eukaryota; Metazoa; Cnidaria; Anthozoa; Scleractinia; Pocilloporidae. The record is from RNAcentral.